This 43-nucleotide ribosomal RNA is filed under the name Lactarius abieticola. RNAcentral's name for it is "partial 28S ribosomal RNA". The record is from RNAcentral. Lineage: Eukaryota; Fungi; Basidiomycota; Agaricomycetes; Russulales; Russulaceae. RNAcentral also lists the same sequence under 2 other names.
UGACCUCAAAUCGGGUGAGACUACCCGCUGAACUUAAGCAUAU